GAUGAACGCUGGCGGCGUGCCUAAUACAUGCAAGUCGAGCGAACAGACGAGGAGCUUGCUCCUCUGACGUUAGCGGCGGACGGGUGAGUAACACGUGGAUAACCUACCUAUAAGACUGGGAUAACUUCGGGAAACCGGAGCUAAUACCGGAUAAUAUAUUGAACCGCAUGGUUCAAUAGUGAAAGACGGUUUUGCUGUCACUUAUAGAUGGAUCCGCGCCGCAUUAGCUAGUUGGUAAGGUAACGGCUUACCAAGGCAACGAUGCGUAGCCGACCUGAGAGGGGGAGGGCCCACACUGAGACAGAGACCGGGUCCAGACCCCUAGGGGGGGCGCAGGGGGGGAUUCUCCCGAAAAGGGGAAAGCCCUGCGGGGUCACCGCCGGGGGGUUAAAGAGGGUUUCGGGAUCUAAAAACUUUUUUAUUGGGAAAAAAAAAAUGUGAAAGAAACUAUGCGCGUCUGAAGGGUCCCUAACCAAAAGCCCCCGGCUACCUCGGUC
This 497-nucleotide ribosomal RNA is filed under the name uncultured bacterium. Its description in RNAcentral is "partial 16S ribosomal RNA". It matches the Rfam family "Bacterial small subunit ribosomal RNA", at positions 28 to 507 of the family's 1533-position model. The record is from RNAcentral.